UUAAAAUGUAAUUAAAAAUAUUAAAUUAUUAAUAGUUAAGUUCUUUAAAAUUAUAAAUUUGGCGGUAUUUUAGUCUUUUCAGAGGAACCUGUUCUAUAAUUGAUAAUCCACAAUUAAAAAUACUUUAAUUAGAAAUUUAUAUAUCGUUGUAAUUAAAUAUUUUUAUAAAAAUAAAUAUUUAAUAUUUUAAAUUAAAAAAUAAAUCAGAUCAAGGUGUAGUUUAUAUUAAAGAAGAAAUGGGUUACAAUAAUAAAAAUUAUGAAUUAUAAAAUUUGAAUUUAUAUGAAAUUGGAUUUGAAAGUAAUUAAAAAAAUAUUUUUUUAAUGAUUAAGCUCUAAAAUAUGU
Molecule: ribosomal RNA, 345 nt
Filed under: Ghanius sp. AG08
Lineage: Eukaryota; Metazoa; Arthropoda; Insecta; Coleoptera; Coccinellidae
Description: partial 12S ribosomal RNA
Source: RNAcentral